AGUGAACGCUGGCGGUAGGCCUAACACAUGCAAGUCGAACGGCAGCACAGUAAGAUCUUGCUCUUACGGGUGGCGAGUGGCGGACGGGUGAGGAAUACAUCGGAAUCUACUUUUUCGUGGGGGAUAACGUAGGGAAACUUACGCUAAUACCGCAUACGACCUACGGGUGAAAGCAGUGGAUCUUCGGACCUUUCGCGAUUGAAUGAGCCGAUGUCGGAUUAGCUAGUUGGCGGGGUAAAGGCCCACCAAGGCGACGAUCCGUAGCUGGUCUGAGAGGAUGAUCAGCCACACUGGAACUGAGACACGGUCCAGACUCCUACGGGAGGCAGCAGUGGGGAAUAUUGGACAAUGGGCGAAAGCCUGAUGCAGCCAUACCGCGUGGGUGAAGAAGGCCUUCGGGUUGUAAAGCCCUUUUGUUGGGAAAGAAAAGCAGCAGGUUAAUACCCCGCUGUUCUGACGGUACCCAAAGAAUAGGCACCGGCUAACUUCGUG
This 492-nucleotide ribosomal RNA is filed under the name uncultured bacterium. RNAcentral's name for it is "partial 16S ribosomal RNA". It matches the Rfam family "Bacterial small subunit ribosomal RNA", at positions 29 to 507 of the family's 1533-position model. The record is from RNAcentral.